Molecule: ribosomal RNA, 1385 nt
Filed under: Klebsiella pneumoniae
Lineage: Bacteria; Pseudomonadati; Pseudomonadota; Gammaproteobacteria; Enterobacterales; Enterobacteriaceae
Description: bacterial SSU rRNA
Rfam family: Bacterial small subunit ribosomal RNA
Source: RNAcentral
UGGAAACGGUGGCUAAUACCGCAUAAUGUCGCAAGACCAAAGUGGGGGACCUUCGGGCCUCAUGCCAUCAGAUGUGCCCAGAUGGGAUUAGCUAGUAGGUGGGGUAACGGCUCACCUAGGCGACGAUCCCUAGCUGGUCUGAGAGGAUGACCAGCCACACUGGAACUGAGACACGGUCCAGACUCCUACGGGAGGCAGCAGUGGGGAAUAUUGCACAAUGGGCGCAAGCCUGAUGCAGCCAUGCCGCGUGUGUGAAGAAGGCCUUCGGGUUGUAAAGCACUUUCAGCGGGGAGGAAGGCGUUAAGGUUAAUAACCUUGGCGAUUGACGUUACCCGCAGAAGAAGCACCGGCUAACUCCGUGCCAGCAGCCGCGGUAAUACGGAGGGUGCAAGCGUUAAUCGGAAUUACUGGGCGUAAAGCGCACGCAGGCGGUCUGUCAAGUCGGAUGUGAAAUCCCCGGGCUCAACCUGGGAACUGCAUUCGAAACUGGCAGGCUAGAGUCUUGUAGAGGGGGGUAGAAUUCCAGGUGUAGCGGUGAAAUGCGUAGAGAUCUGGAGGAAUACCGGUGGCGAAGGCGGCCCCCUGGACAAAGACUGACGCUCAGGUGCGAAAGCGUGGGGAGCAAACAGGAUUAGAUACCCUGGUAGUCCACGCCGUAAACGAUGUCGAUUUGGAGGUUGUGCCCUUGAGGCGUGGCUUCCGGAGCUAACGCGUUAAAUCGACCGCCUGGGGAGUACGGCCGCAAGGUUAAAACUCAAAUGAAUUGACGGGGGCCCGCACAAGCGGUGGAGCAUGUGGUUUAAUUCGAUGCAACGCGAAGAACCUUACCUGGUCUUGACAUCCACAGAACUUAGCAGAGAUGCUUUGGUGCCUUCGGGAACUGUGAGACAGGUGCUGCAUGGCUGUCGUCAGCUCGUGUUGUGAAAUGUUGGGUUAAGUCCCGCAACGAGCGCAACCCUUAUCCUUUGUUGCCAGCGGUUAGGCCGGGAACUCAAAGGAGACUGCCAGUGAUAAACUGGAGGAAGGUGGGGAUGACGUCAAGUCAUCAUGGCCCUUACGACCAGGGCUACACACGUGCUACAAUGGCAUAUACAAAGAGAAGCGACCUCGCGAGAGCAAGCGGACCUCAUAAAGUAUGUCGUAGUCCGGAUUGGAGUCUGCAACUCGACUCCAUGAAGUCGGAAUCGCUAGUAAUCGUAGAUCAGAAUGCUACGGUGAAUACGUUCCCGGGCCUUGUACACACCGCCCGUCACACCAUGGGAGUGGGUUGCAAAAGAAGUAGGUAGCUUAACCUUCGGGAGGGCGCUUACCACUUUGUGAUUCAUGACUGGGGUGAAGUCGUAACAAGGUAACCGUAGGGGAACCUGCGGUUGGAUCACCUCCUU